This 65-nucleotide ribosomal RNA is filed under the name Gongora sp. SRR-2011. Its description in RNAcentral is "partial 26S ribosomal RNA". The record is from RNAcentral. Lineage: Eukaryota; Viridiplantae; Streptophyta; Magnoliopsida; Asparagales; Orchidaceae.
GUGACCCCAGGAUGGGCGAGGCCACCCGCCGAGUUUAAGCAUAUCAAUAAGCGGAGGAGAGAACU